CUUUGACCAGUCAGAUUUUGCUUUGAAGCUUUUGGUUUUGUUUCUGAAUGCUGAAGACAUUGUUUUUCUCCACUUUCCUUUGUUCUCCAACACCAUCACAUUAUCUUGAAUGAAAAGCGGAGAGGCAGGGUAGAAAAUCACGGCUCUGAAGGUUUUUCUGAAGCUUAUUAUGCUGUGGCGGCGACAAAGAGCCUGAGAAUUUGGAUACAUGGCUCUGCUAGCUGCUU
RNAcentral lists this small RNA (227 nucleotides) under Vigna angularis var. angularis. Its description in RNAcentral is "Non-protein coding transcript". The record is from RNAcentral. Lineage: Eukaryota; Viridiplantae; Streptophyta; Magnoliopsida; Fabales; Fabaceae.